GACAUAGAAACUUACCUCAAGCUAAGCUCUCAAAGCCAGCACCCAAUCUAGGCUCAACUUAUAAGUUAGUCACUUCAACAAGAACCUCAGAAUCAGUACUAAU
Long non-coding RNA from Ipomoea nil (Japanese morning glory), 103 nucleotides. RefSeq lists it as uncharacterized. The record is from RefSeq and is a predicted model, not a curated record. The transcript has 3 exons. Lineage: Eukaryota; Viridiplantae; Streptophyta; Magnoliopsida; Solanales; Convolvulaceae.